This 1964-nucleotide long non-coding RNA is filed under the name Nicotiana tabacum (common tobacco). Its description in RNAcentral is "long non-coding RNA (NTAB_LNC003953)". Lineage: Eukaryota; Viridiplantae; Streptophyta; Magnoliopsida; Solanales; Solanaceae. The record is from RNAcentral.
UAGAACCUAGACCUAAUUCUAGAUCCCCUCCCAUUGAAAAAGCUAAGAGCUGACAACCGCAAAAGACCAAAAACUAGACGGAGGAGGCAGAUUAAUUCUUUGUUCUUGAAUUUCACCAAAAAAAUAGCCAUUUUCCUAUCCCCUUUCUAAUUCUAUCUUCCCAUAAAGAUAUAUCUAAUAUCAAAAGAACAACUGACUUAUUCACAAAAAAGAUGGCAAACGCAAAAGAAAACAAAAAAAAAAGAACAAAGAGAACAGAGAAAAAGAAGAAGCAAAAAUUAGAGGAAGAUAGAUAUGGUAAGUUGAGUGAAAAUUUUGAUGUUGAGGUCUUGAUUGUUCGGAUCUGAGUGACAAAGAGGUGGUGGGACUGUUCGUUCGGUGCUCGAGGUUUCUGGUUCUGAUUUCUGUCUAUACCAUUAUUGUUGUAACCGAGAUGGCAUCGCAUCUUGAGGUCCACUCUCAUCUUGCUUAUGUUAAUUGAUAUGUCAAUAAUUUAGUGUUGGCAUUGCUUAUUAUUAAUUCUUUGUUGAGCUUCAUACUAGAUUGAAAUGUGAAAAAAUGCUUCUGCUUAUUUGUGUUAGUUUAGAUACGAGAUGAAUGGUGUUAAAUUACAAGCAGCUCAUUUGCAUUUAAGUGUUAAGGUGCUAUUUUUAAAAGAAAGAGCCUUGAUUAGAUUAUAUGGGAAAUAAAAUGACUUAAAACGUUGAUGCAAAAUUUUAGAGUAACAAGCUGGGUAAGGUGACGUCCACUCUUGGGAAGGAUAACAUGGGAAUCAACCAUUUGAACAAUUGUUGGAAGCAUGUUUGAAUUCAUUAGUGUAGUCGUUUUUUUAUAUUAGAGUAGAAUUAUUGUUAAAUGAUUUAAUUGCUCCAAAAGUGGGAUUCAACAUUUAGUCGUUUUAGGCGUUCAUUUCAUGAUGAGUUGUGAAAAUCUUAAGUAAUUUUUGGGAAUUAAGUUGCUUUCCUUGGGGGCAUUAAAAUUGAUACAAUAGCUAAUUUGUAACUUGUGACUUGCUAAUAAUAACUAAGUCACGAUUUUUUUUUUUCACAAAUAAUUCCAUAAUCUAUGGACUUACAAUAAUCUCAAAGUAGUUUUAGGAAGAAACAAUUAAAUUAUGAACAUCAUAGUUUGCUUUAGGCACGAUUAAUAAAUCCUCGUGACUAUGGGUACGGUUCCCGUGGCAUAGUUGCGAUACAUGAAUCCAAAUUCGGGUGGCAUUUUAUGCUACUCGGCCAUAACUUCGAUAAUGAUAAAAAUAAACAUGUUGUAAAUCGCGAGUGCAUUCCAUGUGACGCGAUUCACAAUGUGUUCAAAAACGACAAGUAUACGACAAUCGCGCCUUGUUCCGAAAAUAAAUCCAUAAAUGUUAAAAGCAGUUUAAAGGAAUAAAAUGCACAUAGGUUUUAAAUAUGUAAUUAAUCAGUUAACUAGGCCAACUAAUAAUAGUAGAGCGACGCUAAAAUCACGGAACCUAGGAAUACCUAACACCUUCUCUCGGGUUAACAGAAAUCCUUACUCGUAUUUCUGUGUUUGCAGACCAUAAAUAAGAGUCAACUUCCUCGAUUUGGAAUUUUAAACCGGUGACUUGGGACACCAUAAAUUAUCCCAGGUGGCGACUCUGAAUUUGAAUAAAUAAUCACGUUUCGGUUAUUGUCACUUUAAUUGGAAAAACUCCCUUAUAUCCCUUUCAGGUAAAAAAAGAGGUGUGACACAUGGAUUCGCGAGCGGGGUGAAUAAGUGCAUCUAUGGUUCGUGUCGUUUGAUCCUCGGUAGUGCACAUUUUACUUUAAUGUGGAUCGUGUCGAUCGUCUUCGGGGGUAUUUGUAUGUGAUAACAGAACCAGAACCCUUAUAAUUCAUAUGACUUAUUGCUGGAAAGGCCACUAAUUUAAAUGAGGAAAGUGCUUAGUUUUAUUAAUUGGAUGAAAGGAUUUUCAAUAAUUAUUCUUGUUUGAUCUUGUUGUU